Long non-coding RNA from Daphnia pulex (common water flea), 1142 nucleotides. RefSeq lists it as uncharacterized. The record is from RefSeq and is a predicted model, not a curated record. NCBI's taxonomy places the organism in Eukaryota, Metazoa, Arthropoda, Branchiopoda, Diplostraca, Daphniidae. The transcript has 5 exons.
CUAAAAUAGACUUUAACCGCCUAAUAUUUAUACUUGGCAAUUCCAUCUGAUCAUGUGGCCUGAAACUGCUGUAUAUUUUCCCAAAAUGUCGUCUCUUGCUGCAAGUCCCGGCUGUGCGUUUCGUCUCAUGUAGAAAUACUCCACAACAGUAAAAGUGAUCAUUGUGGUGAAGUCUGAGCUUCUUCAUUGCAGUCCAAUGCGCUGUGAUGUGCAAUUUGUUACAGCCAGCUGGCGAAAAGGGUUCCUCUUGCAGGCUUGCUAUCUGUACCGUUUUUAGCUUUCGUCACAUUCAGAAACACUUCCGAACAAUUUAAAGUAAUUGAGUUGAUCAACUUUUUGACAUAGGAUUAGCAGCCUCUUGAGGUUGAGCCUUUUUUUUUGCAGUCCAAUGUGUACAUGAAUUUUGUGCAGAGCCAGCUAGUGAACGGUGUGGUCAGCUGUUGCAUGCAGACGGUGGUGCUGGUGUCGUUCGUUCAUUUAACUAUGGACCGUUCAGUCGUUCGUUUAUCGUAAGAAAUCGAUCACUUGUCGUAGAUUUCCAUGGUCAGUUUUAUGUUUGAGCUGUUUAUGGUGUUGCUGUAUGGGGUACAGUGGUUUUGCAGACAUUUUCCAGUUGAGAGAUGCGCUGAAAUUGAGCUUGUGCAGACUUGCAGUUGAACAUCAUACUUUAAUGAGUCAUUUGCAGUCAUUGCAUUUAAUGUGUCCAUGCAGUAUAUGCAGCGUUACGCAAAAUAGUCUAUGUUGGCUGAUGGCUGUUGGGCUUAUUUUAUCGGCAGCAUUUUGCCGACAUGUCGUCUCUUGCUACCUGUACCGCUGUUGAGUUGAUUCGUUUGCCGCCGUUCCUUAGACUCAAUCCACCGGUGAAACUAAGAAGACGUUGCUGAAAUUCAAGAUUGAUCAAUAAAUUAUAUAAUAAAUUACAAGUGCAUAUCUGGGCUCCCUUUUUCAGUGGCCCCGUUUCCCUAACUAACCAACGCCCGCCAGUGGUCACUCACUCGCUGCAACAAUCAGGAGGAAGGGAGAUGUCUGGUCGAACGGGGACUUGCAAUGCGCAUGAUUCGAUGAAAUCUGUUGGAGGGUCAUGAGUCUAAGCCGGAAGCCUACUAUGAUGCAUUGCUCUCUUAAAAACUGUUCCUCGGCUC